UCCCUUGUAGCUCAGUCGGUAAAGAAUCUGCCUGUAGUGCAGGAGACCUGGGUUCGAUCCCUGGAUUGGGAA
This 72-nucleotide transfer RNA is filed under the name Ovis aries (sheep). It matches the Rfam family "tRNA". From Rfam's summary of the family: Transfer RNA (tRNA) molecules are approximately 80 nucleotides in length. Their secondary structure includes four short double-helical elements and three loops (D, anti-codon, and T loops). Lineage: Eukaryota; Metazoa; Chordata; Mammalia; Artiodactyla; Bovidae. The record is from Rfam by way of RNAcentral.